RNAcentral lists this ribosomal RNA (492 nucleotides) under uncultured bacterium. Its description in RNAcentral is "partial 16S ribosomal RNA". It matches the Rfam family "Bacterial small subunit ribosomal RNA", at positions 29 to 507 of the family's 1533-position model. The record is from RNAcentral.
AGUGAACGCUGGCGGUAGGCCUAACACAUGCAAGUCGAACGGCAGCACAGUAAGAGCUUGCUCUUACGGGUGGCGAGUGGCGGACGGGUGAGGAAUAGAUCGGAAUCUACUUUUUCGUGGGGGAUAACGUAGGGAAACUUACGCUAAUACCGAAUACGACCUACGGGUGAAAGCAGGGGAUCUUCGGACCUUGCGCGAUUGAAUGAGACGAUGUCGGAUUAGCUAGUUGGCGGGGUAAAGGCCCACCAAGGCAACGAUCCGUAGCUGGUCUGAGAGGAUGAUCAGCCACACUGGAACUGAGACACGGUCCAGACUCCUACGGGAGGCAGCAGUGGGGAAUAUUGGGCAAUGGGCGCAAGCCUGAUCCAGCCAUACCGCGUGGGUGAAGAAGGCCUUCGGGUCGUAAAGCCCUUUUGUUGGGAAAGAAAAGCAGCAGGUUAAUACCCCGCUGUUCUGACGGUACCCAAAGAAUAAGCACCGGCUAACUUCGUG